This 488-nucleotide ribosomal RNA is filed under the name uncultured bacterium. RNAcentral's name for it is "partial 16S ribosomal RNA". It matches the Rfam family "Bacterial small subunit ribosomal RNA", at positions 28 to 507 of the family's 1533-position model. The record is from RNAcentral.
GACGAACGCUGGCGGCGUGCUUAACACAUGCAAGUCGAACGCGCCUGUCCUCUGGGUUUCUGGGGGGUGGGUGAGUGGCGAACGGGUGAGUAACACGUGAGUAACCUGCCCCCUUCUUCGGGAUAACGGUCUGAAAGGGCUGCUAAUACCGGGUAUUCACUGGUCUCCGCAUGGGGUCUGGUGGAAAGGUUUUUUUCUGGUGGGGGAUGGGCUCGCGGCCUAUCAGCUUGUUGGUGGGGUGAUGGCCCACCAAGGCUUUGACGGGUAGCCGGCCUGAGAGGGUGACCGGUCACAUUGGGACCGAGAUACGGCCCAGACUCCUACGGGAGGCAGCAGUGGGGAAUAUUGCACAAUGGGCGCAAGCCUGAUGCAGCGACGCCGCGUGAGGGAUGGAGGCCUUCGGGUUGUGAACCUCUUUCGCCCGUGGUCAAGCCGCGACGUGGGUCGUGGUGAGGGUAGUGGGUAAAGAAGCGCCGGCUAACUACGUG